Molecule: ribosomal RNA, 1311 nt
Filed under: Triticum aestivum (bread wheat)
Lineage: Eukaryota; Viridiplantae; Streptophyta; Magnoliopsida; Poales; Poaceae
Description: partial small subunit ribosomal RNA
Source: RNAcentral
AUGGACAUACUCGAGAGAAUUCGCGGAGGCGGCGACAAGCCGGCCGCGAUGGAGACGCCCCGGAGGCCGGAGUCGUGGGUGGAGAUUUCAGAGUCCGUCUCGCGGCUCUGCAGCUUCGACGCCGGCGGGGGCGGGGCCGUAUCUGUAAAACUUAUCCAGGAUGACAGGAUGGCACAUGAUAAGUUGGUUGAUUCUUUCUUGAACAAGUUUUUUCCAUCUGGUUAUCCAUACAGUGUGAAUGAGGGUUACCUAACAUAUACCAAAUUCCGAGCACUCCAGCAUUUUUCUAGUGCUAUGCUGCAUGUGCUAUCGACCCAGUCUUUAUUAUUUGCUGCAGGUCUACGACCUACCCCUGCGCAAGCAACGGCUGUAAGUUGGAUUCUAAAAGAUGGAAUGCAGCACGCAGGAAAACUCAUCUGUAGCGGCAUGGGGGCAAGAAUGGAUUCAGAGCCAAAGAGUUGGAGGAUAUUUGCUGAUGUUCUCUAUGAUUUUGGUACUGCCUUGGACUUCAUUUCACCACUGUGUCCGCAACUUUUUCUUGAAGUGGCAGGCUUGGGAAAUUUUGCGAAGGGAAUGGCUGUGGUUGCUGCCAGAGCGACAAGGCUACCAAUAUAUUCAUCUUUUGCGAAAGAAGGCAACCUUAGUGACUUGUUUGCUAAAGGGGAAGCCAUCUCGACACUUUUCAAUGUUAUGGGGAUAGGAGCUGGCAUUGGAUUAUCAUCUACAGUAUGUCUAACGACUCAAGGAAAGCUAAUCAUAGGCCCAUUGCUUUCUGCUGUGCAUAUAUGGGGAGUGGUGCAAGAGAUGAGAGCAACUCCUAUAAACACACUUAAUCCACAAAGAACAGCAAUGGUGGUGGCUGAUUUUAUCAAGAGCGGAAAGGUUUCAAGCCCAGCUGAGCUAAGAUACAGAGAAGAUCUUCUGUUCCCUAACCGGUUAAUAGUAGAAGCGGGAAGCGUGAAAGUCGGGCAACCACUUCGCAGGGUUUUGAGCCCACGGCGUGUCGAAGAGCUGAGGUCUAUUUUCCCAAACGAGAAAUUUCUGCUCACCCAAAAAAGCGACAAGGCGUACAUGGUUCUUGAGCAGAGCGCAACCGGGGAGGAUGCGCUGAGGGGGUGGCUGGUCGCUGCCUUCGCUUCGGAGAUGGAGAGAUCAGGCGCUGGACCACGUGACACGGUCCUGAACGACGCCUAUCAGAAGAUGGAGAGCGUGUUCCCCGUGUUCGUUUCGGAAGUCAAGAGCAGGGGCUGGUACACAGGCCAGUUCUUGGAUGGAAAUCACAGUCGGAUCGCGUACGCGAAAUCUGAAUGA